Molecule: ribosomal RNA, 253 nt
Filed under: uncultured bacterium
Lineage: Bacteria
Description: partial 16S ribosomal RNA
Rfam family: Bacterial small subunit ribosomal RNA
Source: RNAcentral
UACGGAGGGUGCAAGCGUUAUCCGGAUUUAUUGGGUUUAAAGGGUCCGUAGGCGGACCCAUAAGUCAGUGGUGAAAUCCUGCAGCUUAACUGUAGAACUGCCAUUGAUACUGUGGGUCUUGAAUAUGGUUGAAGUGGGCGGAAUAUGACAUGUAGCGGUGAAAUGCUUAGAUAUGUCAUAGAACACCGAUUGCGAAGGCAGCUCACUAAGCCACAAUUGACGCUGAUGGACGAAAGCGUGGGUAGCGAACAGG